Long non-coding RNA from Camelus dromedarius (Arabian camel), 428 nucleotides. RefSeq lists it as uncharacterized. The transcript has 4 exons. The record is from RefSeq and is a predicted model, not a curated record. Lineage: Eukaryota; Metazoa; Chordata; Mammalia; Artiodactyla; Camelidae.
CUGAGAACCUAGCGGAGGCCCCUCUUAACCCGCGCGGGGUGGACCGCGAUUCCUCACUGAACUGAGCCGUCUUUGGUAUAGAGAACUGUUUCAAGAGUAAACGAAAAAUGUAAAUUUCAGCCUGAAAAGAAGCAAGGACAAGAAAGGGCUUUCUUGAUCACUGACACUCGGGGAGGUUAAGGAUGCAGGUUCUCCUCCCUCAAGUUGGGAAUUACUGCCAUGUGGGCUCCAGGAGCUUCCCUGACAACUUGGAUGAUGUUACGCCCUCACCAUCGCCUUUGGAGAUAACGCUACCCCCAAUUCACUUCACCUCUCUCCCUUUAUAAGAUUGUGAGGCCAAGGCAAAAGGAUCUUGUCAGUCUUAUCAGGAUCACCAAGACCGAGGACAGCCACAGAAGAGUUCAAUAAAUAUGCUUAACAAACAAAAA